CGUAGUGGUGCGAGGCACAAAGUCCUGCCUUGUUUCCUCAAGGGGAGACAGGCCACAAAGCGUCUUGCUUCCAGUUCCUUAGGAAGCUAAGAAACGCCUCGCUCUCCACAGUGCUCUUACAGCCUACUGGGAACAUCUCUGACAAAGGCCUGUGAAACACAGUUUCUUCCCAGCCUGAUCUCUCUGAACUGGAACUUCUGCUCUGCAGUGUAAUACAUUGCCCUAGAGAUGGAAGUCACAAUGGCCUGCCUGCCUUCCUUAAGAGGAGACAGGCCACAGACAGUCUCGCUUCCAGCUGUUUGGCAAGGUCAGAAAGAAGUCGCUUUCCACAGGGCUCUUACAGCCUAUUGGGAACCUCUCAUACAAAAGCCUGAAAUGCAGUUUGUUUCCAGCCUGAUCUCACUGCCUUGGAAUCUCUGCUCUAAGCCAUAUCCCACUUUACUCCAGAGAUGGAAGACACAAAGCGGUGAAUCAUUGCCACCAAAGGAGACAAGCCACAAACGCUCUUCUUUCCAGCUCUUUGGGAAGGUAAGCAACAAAUAACUCUCCACUGUGCUCUUACAGCCUACCGGGAACGUCUCUAAGAAAGAUCUGUGAAAGGCAGAUUCUUCCCAACCGUGAUCUCACUGAAGUAGAACUUCUUCUCUCCCGUGAUCUACAUUGCCCUAGAG
This 671-nucleotide long non-coding RNA is filed under the name Equus caballus (horse). RNAcentral describes it as "lncRNA (ENSECAG00000054389.1)". Lineage: Eukaryota; Metazoa; Chordata; Mammalia; Perissodactyla; Equidae. The record is from RNAcentral.